RNAcentral lists this ribosomal RNA (253 nucleotides) under uncultured prokaryote. RNAcentral describes it as "partial 16S ribosomal RNA". It matches the Rfam family "Bacterial small subunit ribosomal RNA", at positions 525 to 777 of the family's 1533-position model. The record is from RNAcentral.
ACAGAGGGGGCAAGCGUUGUUCGGAAUUACUGGGCGUAAAGGGCUCGUAGGUGGCCAACUAAGUCGGACGUGAAAUCCCUCGGCUUAACCGGGGAACUGCGUCCGAUACUGGUUGGCUUGAGUUUGGGAGAGGGAUGCGGAAUUCCAGGUGUAGCGGUGAAAUGCGUAGAUAUCUGGAGGAACACCUGUGGUGUAGACGGCUCUCUGGACCGCAACUGACGCUGAGACACGAAAGCGUGGGUAGCAAACAGGA